UUUUGAGCUUACUGAUCCGAAUGAUAGUCGAAAAGGGUGUAGGAGGAUAGUUGAACUUAGUAAUUGUCCUUCCAAUGCAACUAUGUUGCAAUUGGAUAAUGCGAAGUUCUUGACUUAUCCUCCAGAAUUAUCUGAGCAGAUUUUUUCUGCUGGUAUUUCAGCGUGUAGGUUUAACUGUCUUGUUAAUGGUGCUUGUGUUGCUUCGACUUCUUUAGCAGAUGGCACGGGGAUGUGUUAUAUUAAACAGCCAAACUUUGUUAGUGGCUAUCAAGCGCCGACCCUUCCUAGCACUUCAUUUCUUAAGAUAUGUGGGCCUGCAAUGCCUAAUCCUACUGCAAAUUCAGAACCUGUUCCGGAG
This 358-nucleotide unclassified non-coding RNA is filed under the name Hevea brasiliensis (rubber tree). The record is from RNAcentral. Lineage: Eukaryota; Viridiplantae; Streptophyta; Magnoliopsida; Malpighiales; Euphorbiaceae.